UAGGGAAUCUUCGGCAAUGGACGAAAGUCUGACCGAGCAACGCCGCGUGAGUGAAGAAGGUUUUCGGAACGUAAAACUCUGUUGGUAGAGAAGAACGUUGGUGAGAGUGGAAAGCUCAUCAAGUGACGGUAACUACCCAGAAAGGGACGGCUAACUACGUGCCAC
RNAcentral lists this ribosomal RNA (165 nucleotides) under uncultured bacterium. Its description in RNAcentral is "partial 16S rRNA". It matches the Rfam family "Bacterial small subunit ribosomal RNA", at positions 355 to 511 of the family's 1533-position model. The record is from RNAcentral.